UACGUAGGGUGCAAGCGUUAAUCGGAAUUACUGGGCGUAAAGCGUGCGCAGACGGCUAUGCAAGACAGAUGUGAAAUCCCCGGGCUCAACCUGGGAACUGCAUUUGUGACUGCAUGGCUAGAGUACGGUAGAGGGGGAUGGAAUUCCGCGUGUAGCAGUGAAAUGCGUAGAUAUGCGGAGGAACACCGAUGGCGAAGGCAAUCCCCUGGACCUGUACUGACGCUCAUGCACGAAAAGCGUGGGGGAGCAAACAGG
RNAcentral lists this ribosomal RNA (255 nucleotides) under uncultured bacterium. RNAcentral's name for it is "partial 16S ribosomal RNA". It matches the Rfam family "Bacterial small subunit ribosomal RNA", at positions 524 to 776 of the family's 1533-position model. The record is from RNAcentral.